RNAcentral lists this ribosomal RNA (487 nucleotides) under uncultured bacterium. Its description in RNAcentral is "bacterial SSU rRNA". It matches the Rfam family "Bacterial small subunit ribosomal RNA", at positions 28 to 516 of the family's 1533-position model. The record is from RNAcentral.
GACGAACGCUGGCGGCGUGCUUAACACAUGCAAGUCGAACGGGGUGUUUAUUUCGGUAAACACCAAGUGGCGAACGGGUGAGUAACGCGUAAGCAAUCUACCUUCAAGAUGGGGACAACACUUCGAAAGGGGUGCUAAUACCGAAUGAAUGUAAGAGUAUCGCAUGAGACACUUACUAAAGGAGGCCUCUGAAAAUGCUUCCGCUUGAAGAUGAGCUUGCGUCUGAUUAGCUAGUUGGUGAGGGUAAAGGCCCGACCAAGGCGACGAUCAGUAGCCGGCCUGAGAGGGUGAACGGCCACAUUGGGACUGAGACACGGCCCAAAACUCCUACGGGAGGCAGCAGUGGGGAAUAUUGCACAAUGGGGGAAACCCUGAUGCAGCGACGCCGCGUGAGUGAAGAAGUAUUCGGUAUGGUAAAAACUCUAUCAGCAGGGAAGAUAAUGACGGUACCUGACUAAGAAGCACGGCUAAAUACGUGCCAGCAGCC